GAUGAACGCUAGCUACAGGCUUAACACAUGCAAGUCGCGGGGCAGCAUGGGGGUUGCUUGCCAUCCCCGAUGGCGGCCGGCGCACGGGUGAGUAACGCGUAUCCAACCUGCCCUUCACCACGGGAUAACCCGGCGAAAGUCGGACUAAUACCGUAUGUUGUCCAUUGACGGCAUCCGAUUUGGACGAAAGGCUUGGCGGUGAGGGAUGGGGAUGCGUCCGAUUAGCCAGACGGCGGGGUAACGGCCCACCGUGGCUACGAUCGGUAGGGGUUCUGAGAGGAAGGUCCCCCACACUGGAACUGAGACACGGUCCAGACUCCUACGGGAGGCAGCAGUGAGGAAUAUUGGUCAAUGGGCGUAAGCCUGAACCAGCCAAGUAGCGUGCAGGAUGACGGCCCUAUGGGUUGUAAACUGCUUUUAUGCGGGGAUAAAGUGGCCCACGUGUGGGCUUUUGCAGGUACCGCAUGAAUAAGGACCGGCUAAUUCCGUG
RNAcentral lists this ribosomal RNA (490 nucleotides) under uncultured bacterium. RNAcentral's name for it is "partial 16S ribosomal RNA". It matches the Rfam family "Bacterial small subunit ribosomal RNA", at positions 28 to 507 of the family's 1533-position model. The record is from RNAcentral.